RNAcentral lists this ribosomal RNA (110 nucleotides) under Caerostris extrusa. The record is from RNAcentral. Lineage: Eukaryota; Metazoa; Arthropoda; Arachnida; Araneae; Araneidae.
ACGACCACACCAUGCUGAAUAUACCGGUUCUCGUUAGAUCACCGAAGUCAAGCAUCAUUGGGCGCGGUCAAUACUUGGGUGGGUGACCACCUGGGAACACCCGUGCCGUU